CGCGUAGGCGGACCGUUUAGUCAGGCGUGAAAGCCCAGGGCUCAACCCUGGAACUGCGCUUGAUACUGGCGGUCUUGAGUGCCGGAGAGGAUGGUGGAAUUCCCAGUGUAGAGGUGAAAUUCGUAGAUAUUGGGAAGAACACCGGUGGCGAAGGCGGCCAUCUGGACGGCAACUGACGCUGAGGCGCGAAAGCGUGGGGAGCAAACA
Molecule: ribosomal RNA, 207 nt
Filed under: uncultured bacterium
Lineage: Bacteria
Description: partial 16S ribosomal RNA
Rfam family: Bacterial small subunit ribosomal RNA
Source: RNAcentral